Molecule: ribosomal RNA, 253 nt
Filed under: uncultured prokaryote
Description: partial 16S ribosomal RNA
Rfam family: Bacterial small subunit ribosomal RNA
Source: RNAcentral
UACAGAGGGUGCAAGCGUUAAUCGGAAUUACUGGGCGUAAAGCGUGCGUAGACGGUGAGGUAAGUUAGGUGUGAAAGCCCCGGGCUCAACCUGGGAAUUGCAUUUAAGACUGCUUCGCUAGGGUGCGGAAGAGGGAAGCGGAAUUUCCGGUGUAGCGGUGAAAUGCGUAGAUAUCGGAAGGAACAUCAGUGGCGAAAGCGGCUUCCUGGUCCAGCACCGACGUUCAGGCACGAAAGCGUGGGGAGCAAACAGG